Molecule: ribosomal RNA, 640 nt
Filed under: uncultured bacterium
Lineage: Bacteria
Description: bacterial SSU rRNA
Rfam family: Bacterial small subunit ribosomal RNA
Source: RNAcentral
GCUAGCGGCAGGCCUAAUACAUGCAAGUCGAACGGUGGCAGCAAUGUCAUAGUGGCGCACGGGUGCGUAACACGUAACUAACCUGCCCAAGACUGGGGGAUAGCCCGCCGAAAGGCGGAUUAAUACCGCAUAACACUUUUGAGUGGCAUCACUUGAUAGUUAAACCUGAGGGGGUCUUGGAUGGGGUUGCGGGUCAUUAGCUAGUUGGUAAGGUAACGGCUUACCAAGGCGACGAUGACUAGGGGAGCUGAGAGGCUGGUCCCCCACACGGGCACUGAGAUACGGGCCCGACUCCUACGGGAGGCAGCAGUAGGGAAUAUUGGGCAAUGGGCGAGAGCCUGACCCAGCCAUGCCGCGUGCAGGAAGAAGGCUUUCUGAGUCGUAAACUGCUUUUGAUAGGGAAGAAUAACCUGUACGUGUACAGGGAUGACGGUACCUACAGAAUAAGCACCGGCUAACUCCGUGCCAGCAGCCGCGGUAAUACGGAGGGUGCGAGCGUUGUCCGGAUUUAUUGGGUUUAAAGGGUGCGUAGGCGGCCCGUUAAGUCCGGGGUGAAAGCCCGUUGCUCAACAACGGAACUGCCCUGGAUACUGGCGGGCUUGAGACUAGUGGAGGUUGGCGGAAUGGACCGAGUAGCGGU